GUCCGCGCGGCGGUUCUGUCCUUCUGCGCCUCGUCGGCGCUGGGAUGCUGGAACUCGAAGCGCACGAAGGCGUCCAGAUCCUUGGGGGCGACCCCUAAACGAUGGAAAACGGCCUCAAAACCCACCGCCCCCCCCCACCCCCCCAAAAUCCUCCCCCCCUGGGCUGAGGGACCCCCGAAGCCAAGACCCCCCCCCCUUCUGCCCCCCUCCUCACCGGGCGGCGCGGGGAGGUUGAUGCCUCUGACGAUGCACAGCAGCAAAUCGCCGCUGCUCAGCUCGGGGAAGGUCCUGAAAGGGGGUAAAAAGGGGUGAAAAAGGGGGGGCAGGGGGGGCAGGGGGGGGUGGGAGGGGGGCGGGGGGGAAGGGGGGGAAGGGAGGAGCCCAAAAGGAGGCAGCGGGACCCGAAGGGGGGAGCACAAAGUAAGGGGGGGCCCUAAAAGGAGAGGACCCCGAAAGAAGAAGGAGGACCCCAAAGAAGAAGGUGGAUCCCAAAAGAAGAGGGGAGGAGCCCAAAAGAAGGAGGACCACAAAUGAGGAGGGAGGACCCCAAAAGCAGACCCCAAAAGAAAAGGGCAAACCCCAAAAGCAGAGAGCGGAACCGAAAGGAGGAGGAGGACCCCAAAAAAGGGGAUGGACCCCAAAAGAAGAGGAAAGGACCCCAAAUGAAGAGAAGACCCCAAAUGAGGAGGGAGGACCCCAAAAGAAGGAGGUGGAACCCAAAGCACAGGGCGGACCCCAAAAGCAGAGGGAGGACCCCAAAGAGGAGGGGGGACCCCAAAAGAAAAGGGCAGACUCAAAAAGAGGGGGGAUCCCAAAGAAGGAGAAGGACCCCAAAAGCAGACCCCAAAAGGGCAGACCCCAAAAGAAAAGGGCAGACCCCAAAAAGAGGAGGGAACCCAAAGCAGGAGGACCCCAAAAGCAGCCCCAAAGGCUCCGUGCCGCACUUGACGGCGCUGAAGCUCCGCUGCUCCCAGCGGCUCCGCGGCUCCGGGCCGCCCUGCGCGCGGCUCUGCUGCAGCACCUGGGCGCUGCGCCGGCACUCCUGCGCCAGCAGCUCCAGCCUGCGGGCGGGAAACACGUCAGCACCCACAGCAGCACCCACUGCAGCACCCACAGCAGCACCCACAGCAGCACCCACGUCAGCACCCACAGCGGCACCCACAGCGGCACCCACAGCAGCACCCACAGCGGCACCCACUGCAGCACCCACAGCGGCACCCACAGCGGCACCCACUGCAGCACCCACAGCGGCACCCACAGCAGCACCCACAGCAGCACCCACAGCGGCACCCACGUCAGCACCCACAGCAGCACCCACAGCAGCACCCACUGCAGCACCCACAGCGGCACCCACUGCAGCACCCACAGCAGCACCCACAUCACCACCCACAGCGGCACC
RNAcentral lists this long non-coding RNA (1399 nucleotides) under Phasianus colchicus (ring-necked pheasant). RNAcentral's name for it is "lncRNA (ENSPCLG00000017720.1)". Lineage: Eukaryota; Metazoa; Chordata; Aves; Galliformes; Phasianidae. The record is from RNAcentral.